UACAGAGGGGGCAAGCGUUAUUCGGAAUUAUUGGGCGUAAAGGGCGCGUAGGCGGCCAUUCAAGGGACGGGUGAAAGCCCUCGGCUUAACCGAGGAACUGCCUGUCAGACUGGAUGGCUUGAGACCGGGAGAGGUGAGUGGAAUUCCCAGUGUAGCGGUGAAAUGCGUAGAUAUUGGGAGGAACACCAGUGGCGAAGGCGGCUCACUGGACCGGAACUGACGCUGAGGCGCGAAAGCGUGGGGAGCGAACAGG
RNAcentral lists this ribosomal RNA (253 nucleotides) under uncultured bacterium. Its description in RNAcentral is "partial 16S ribosomal RNA". It matches the Rfam family "Bacterial small subunit ribosomal RNA", at positions 524 to 776 of the family's 1533-position model. The record is from RNAcentral.